This is a long non-coding RNA of Glycine soja, 409 nucleotides long. RefSeq lists it as uncharacterized. Lineage: Eukaryota; Viridiplantae; Streptophyta; Magnoliopsida; Fabales; Fabaceae. The record is from RefSeq and is a predicted model, not a curated record. The transcript is spliced from 2 exons.
GUUACGUAUAGCUUUAUAUCAACCCAUUAGACACUAUUGAAUUGAAGAAAAGAGGACAUUAUUCUAGAGUCAAAUUAAGAUGAAGGCCAUUACUAUCAUUUUGAUUGUUCUGCUUGUUCUUUCCGUUGGGAUUGAAAAUGAAGGGCCAUUGAAAGUGAUUGAAGCAAGAACCUGUCAAGAUAGGUUGGGCGCGCUAAACUGUAUACAAGACGAAUGUCAUAUUAGUUGCAUAAAAAAACAUGGAAAGUUAACAAAAGUUGGGUGCAGUAUGCCUUUAUAUGAUUGCAUAUGUCUCUACCCAUGUUAAUAAGUGUUUGACCUUCUUCCUACAUUGUCCCUAUAUGAAUGUCAAUUUAUUUGUACCAGACAAUGAUGGAAUCAAAGAAAAUAAAAUUACUUUUUGGUAAUA